UGGGGAAUAUUGCACAAUGGGCGCAAGCCUGAUGCAGCCAUGCCGCGUGUAUGAAGAAGGCCUUCGGGUUGUAAAGUACUUUCAGUCGGGAGGAAGGUGUCAAGGUUAAUAACCUUGGCAAUUGACGUUACCGACAGAAGAAGCACCGGCUAACUCCGUGCCAGCAGCCGCGGUAAUACGGAGGGUGCAAGCGUUAAUCGGAAUUACUGGGCGUAAAGCGCACGCAGGCGGUUUGUUAAGUCAGAUGUGAAAUCCCCGGGCUCAACCUGGGAACUGCAUCUGAUACUGGCAAGCUUGAGUCUCGUAGAGGGGGGUAGAAUUCCAGGUGCAGCGGUGAAAUGCGUAGAGAUCUGGAGGAAUACCGGUGGCGAAGGCGGCCCCCUGGACGAAGACUGACGCUCAGGUGCGAAAGCGUGGGGAGCAAACAGG
RNAcentral lists this ribosomal RNA (429 nucleotides) under Chloroflexota bacterium. Its description in RNAcentral is "Chloroflexi bacterium partial 16S ribosomal RNA". It matches the Rfam family "Bacterial small subunit ribosomal RNA", at positions 355 to 776 of the family's 1533-position model. The record is from RNAcentral. Lineage: Bacteria; Bacillati; Chloroflexota.